UGUAGAGAAUCUGCCUUUGAGCGGGGGACGAACAGUUGGAACGAUUGCUAAUACCCCAUAUGAGCGUACCUGAAAUGGUAUUCUUGAAAACUCCGGUGCUCAAAGAUGAGUCUGCAUCUGAUUAGCUAGUUGGCGGUGUAAUGGACCACCAAGGCGACGAUCAGUAGCUGGUUUGAGAGGAUGAUCAGCCACAAUGGGACUGAGACACGGCCCAUACUCCUACGGGAGGCAGCAG
RNAcentral lists this ribosomal RNA (235 nucleotides) under uncultured bacterium. Its description in RNAcentral is "partial 16S ribosomal RNA". It matches the Rfam family "Bacterial small subunit ribosomal RNA", at positions 116 to 354 of the family's 1533-position model. The record is from RNAcentral.